CGCACAGGCUAUUUGCAAUAUCCAACUUUAUCAGAUACCACAUCAAGAGAACAUAUUUGUGAAGUGAAGAUAUUUCUUAUGUUACUAAAUAACAAAGUUCCUAUCCAUUCAAGAGUGUUUUAAUUAUAGGUCCGCAAGAAGAGUGAGCUCCAUUGCGCUGGUACGCGGUACAACGUUGACCGCUGAAACGAUUAAAGUUUGUGCACUCAGCGCACACCGAAAUUCAAGCAGCACGUCGCCUACUGUACACCUCAUUUUUGG
This is a non-coding RNA of Paramuricea clavata, 261 nucleotides long. The record is from the annotation of a GenBank genome assembly. Lineage: Eukaryota; Metazoa; Cnidaria; Anthozoa; Malacalcyonacea; Plexauridae.